UAUUACAACAUCGAUGAGGGAUUAAGCUUGAAGAUAGAUAUCACACAAUUUAAGUAGAUUAAUUUACAUCCCAUGGGCACUAGCGGAAACAAGACUAAAAUACAACUAUUCUCCCAAAAUAUAUUUGGGUUUAAUUGCUAAGCAAAACAUAAUAAGUUUAUAGCCCAAAAGACGUGCGACGGACAUGUUCAACAAAAGAGGUACAUAUAUGAGGCCUUUUACAUAUU
This 227-nucleotide long non-coding RNA is filed under the name Salvia miltiorrhiza (redroot sage). Its description in RNAcentral is "long non-coding RNA (SMIL_LNC013184)". Lineage: Eukaryota; Viridiplantae; Streptophyta; Magnoliopsida; Lamiales; Lamiaceae. The record is from RNAcentral.